Molecule: ribosomal RNA, 253 nt
Filed under: uncultured Blastopirellula sp.
Lineage: Bacteria; Pseudomonadati; Planctomycetota; Planctomycetia; Pirellulales; Pirellulaceae
Description: partial 16S ribosomal RNA
Rfam family: Bacterial small subunit ribosomal RNA
Source: RNAcentral
GACGAACCGUACGAAUGUUACUCGGAAUCACUGGGCUUAAAGGGUGCGUAGGCUGUCCGGUAAGUUGGGUGUGAAAGCCCUCGGCUCAACCGAGGAAUUGCGCCCAAAACUGUCGGACUUGAGGGAGACAGAGGUGAGCGGAACUUAGGGUGGAGCGGUGACAUGCGUUGAUAUCCUAAGGAACACCAGUGGCGAAAGCGGCUCACUGGGUCUCUUCUGACGCUGAGGCACGAAAGCUAGGGGAGCGAACGGG